RNAcentral lists this ribosomal RNA (253 nucleotides) under uncultured bacterium. RNAcentral describes it as "partial 16S ribosomal RNA". It matches the Rfam family "Bacterial small subunit ribosomal RNA", at positions 524 to 776 of the family's 1533-position model. The record is from RNAcentral.
UACGUAGGGUCCAAGCGUUAAUCGGAAUUACUGGGCGUAAAGUGUGCGCAGGCGGCCGAGCAAGUCGAGUGUGAAAGCCCCGAGCUUAACUUGGGAACUGCGCUCGAAACUACUUGGCUAGAGUGUGGCAGAGGGAGGUGGAAUUCCACGUGUAGCGGUGAAAUGCGUAGAGAUGUGGAGGAACACCGAUGGCGAAGGCAGCCUCCUGGGCCAACACUGACGCUCAUGCACGAAAGCGUGGGGAGCAAACAGG